CAGCAGCCACGGGAACACGGAGGGAGCUAGCGUUGUUCGGAAUCACUGGGCGUAAAGCGCACGUAGGCGGCUAUUCAAGUCAGGGGUGAAAGCCCGGGGCUCAACCCCGGAACUGCCUUUGAAACUAGAUAGCUUGAAUCUUGGAGAGGCGAGUGGAAUUCCGAGUGUAGAGGUGAAAUUCGUAGAUAUUCGGAAGAACACCAGUGGCGAAGGCGACUCGCUGGACAAGUAUUGACGCUGAGGUGCGAAAGCGUGGGGAGCAAACAGGAUUAGAUACCCCGGUAGUCCCUGUCUCUUAUAU
Molecule: ribosomal RNA, 301 nt
Filed under: uncultured bacterium
Lineage: Bacteria
Description: partial 16S ribosomal RNA
Rfam family: Bacterial small subunit ribosomal RNA
Source: RNAcentral